RNAcentral lists this ribosomal RNA (235 nucleotides) under uncultured Tepidiphilus sp. Its description in RNAcentral is "partial 16S ribosomal RNA". It matches the Rfam family "Bacterial small subunit ribosomal RNA", at positions 1148 to 1382 of the family's 1533-position model. The record is from RNAcentral. Lineage: Bacteria; Pseudomonadati; Pseudomonadota; Hydrogenophilia; Hydrogenophilales; Hydrogenophilaceae.
ACUGCCGGUGACAAACCGGAGGAAGUGGGGAUGACGUCAAGUCCUCAUGGCCCUUAUGGGUAGGGCUUCACACGUCAUACGAAUGGUCGGUACAGAGGGUUGCCAAGCCGCGAGGCGGAGCCAAUCCCACAAAGCCGAUCGUAGUCCGGAUUGCAGUCUGCAACUCGACUGCAUGAAGUCGGAAUCGCUAGUAAUCGCGGAUCAGCAUGUCGCGGUGAAUACGUUCCCGGGCCUU